CAAGAGCGUAUGUAAAAGUUGUUGCAGUUAAAAAGCUCGUAGUUGAACCUUGGGUUUGGUUGGCCGGUCCGCUUUUUUGCGAGUACUGGAUUCAACCGAGCCUUUCCUUCUGGCUAACCAGUCGUUUCGGCGGCUGGCGAACCAGGAUUUUUACUUUGAGAAAAUUAGAGUGUUCAAAGCAGGCAUUAGCUUGAAUAUAUUAGCAUGGAAUGAUAGAAUAGGACGUUAUGGUUCUAUUUUGUUGGUUUCUAGGACCAUCGUAAUGAUUAAUAGGGACGGUCGGGGGCAUCAGUAUUCAGUUGUCAGAGGUGAAAUUCUUGGAUUUACUGAAGACUAACUACUGCGAAAGCAUUUGCCAAGGACGUUUUCAUUAA
Molecule: ribosomal RNA, 374 nt
Filed under: uncultured eukaryote
Lineage: Eukaryota
Description: partial 18S ribosomal RNA
Rfam family: Eukaryotic small subunit ribosomal RNA
Source: RNAcentral